Molecule: long non-coding RNA, 190 nt
Organism: Limulus polyphemus (Atlantic horseshoe crab)
Lineage: Eukaryota; Metazoa; Arthropoda; Merostomata; Xiphosura; Limulidae
Exons: 3
Source: RefSeq, a predicted model, not a curated record
GUGUAUAAUCUCUUUCUUUGCAUUUAUGGCGGACAUUUUUGUGGUGACUGAUUACUGGACAGUUCGACUGCUAACAGCGUUUAUUGUGUGUAACAUCGUAUUCUAUGUAGGAAAACUCGUGACAGCAACUGUAAUCGUGAAGAACUUGAUCGACUGUUUAGAUGUCAACAUCAAGGCAUAAAAGAAAUGU